UUAGGAAUCUUGCGCAAUGGACGAAAGUCUGACGCAGCGACGCCGCGUGCGGGAUGAAGGCCCUCGGGUUGUAAACCGCUUUCAGCAGGGACGAAAUUGACGGUACCUGCAGAAGAAGCCCCGGCCAACUACGUGCCAGCAGCCGCGGUAAUACGUAGGGGGCAAGCGUUGUCCGGAUUUAUUGGGCGUAAAGAGCUCGUAGGUGGUUCGGUAAGUCGGAUGUGAAAUCUCCAGGCUCAACCUGGAGGGGUCAUUCGAUACUGCCGUGACUAGAGGUCGGUAGGGGAGUGUGGAAUUCCUGGUGGAGCGGUGAAAUGCGCAGAUAUCAGGAGGAACACCCGUAGCGAAGGCGGCACUCUGGGCCGAUACUGACACUGAGGAGCGAAAGCGUGGGGAGCGAACAGGAUUAGAUACCCCCGUAGUCC
Molecule: ribosomal RNA, 425 nt
Filed under: uncultured bacterium
Lineage: Bacteria
Description: bacterial SSU rRNA
Rfam family: Bacterial small subunit ribosomal RNA
Source: RNAcentral